Molecule: long non-coding RNA, 247 nt
Filed under: Linum usitatissimum (flax)
Lineage: Eukaryota; Viridiplantae; Streptophyta; Magnoliopsida; Malpighiales; Linaceae
Description: long non-coding RNA (LUSI_LNC000527)
Source: RNAcentral
CCAAAGAUUCUUUGUCUCAAAUGAAGGAGUCUGUUUGCGAACUUCAAUCAGUUCUCCGAAGAAAGCAAGGAGAUCUAGAUCAGAGUGAUGUGAAGCAGUACUUGUCCAAGAGAAAGGCAGUCAGGAAGUCCAUCCAGAAAGCAUUGAAGAGCUUGAAGAGUAUCCAAUCUAACAGCAAUGACAACCCAGAGAUUGUUGCAGUCUUCAGAGACGUUGAAGCCACUACAAUCAACGUGUUCGAGUCCUU